RNAcentral lists this long non-coding RNA (3711 nucleotides) under Triticum aestivum (bread wheat). RNAcentral describes it as "long non-coding RNA (TAES_LNC006302)". Lineage: Eukaryota; Viridiplantae; Streptophyta; Magnoliopsida; Poales; Poaceae. The record is from RNAcentral.
AUUUGUAGAGGUGUCAGAGCUCAAAGCGAAAAAGAUAGAGAUAAAACAUUUUGGGUGGCAUGCUUUUCCUGUCAGCGAAAAUGAUCGAGUAGUUCUCAAUACUUCUCAUGCUAGAUAUAUCAUGGGCGGUUCCCAAACAGAAAAUAAAGUUUAUUCCUUUUUCCACCAUACUUUCACUUUCCAUGGCUAACUGUAUCCACGGGUGCCUUCCAUGCCAACACUUUUCCAAGGAAUUUAUUAUUUGACAACAUAAAGUAAAUUCAUUUUUCAUUUUGGGACUGGGCAUCCCUAAUACCUUUGUCGCACUCUCGUGCAAUGGCAAGUGAAUAAACACUCAUCUUGAGAAUAACACAUCUAGCACGGAAAUAUAUCAGUCACCCCCUACCGUUUCAUGAGCAGUACAAGCACACAAAAGAGAAAUUUAUUUUGAAAAUUAGAAAUGGCACAUACAAAUUUGCUUAGAACUGCAAAAGAAUGCCGCAUAUAGGUAGGUAUAGUGGACUCAUGUGGCAAAAACUGGUUUAAAGGAUUUUGGAUGCACAAGUAGUGAUCAUACUUAGUGCAAAUGAAGGCUAGCAAAAGAUUGAGAAUCAUCCAACCAAGAAACGAAAAAUCUCAUAAGCAAGCAUUAAGCAUAAAUAACACCAAAUAAUGCACCACAAGUAGGAUGUAAUUUCAUUGCAUAACUAUUGACUUUCGUGCUUGCAUAGGGAAUCACAAACCUUAACACCAAUACUCUUACUAAAGCAUAAUUACUCGUCAACAUGGCUCACAUAUUAUAUCACCAUAUCGCAAAACUAUUACAAGGCAUCAAGUUUAUUUUGUCCAAUGAUCUUCAUGAAAUUUUUUAUUAUAUCCCUCUUGAAUAUCUAUCACUUUGGGGCUAGUUUCAUAUGUUGCUUUUAAUAAGCUCAAACAAAUAUAAGUGAAGAACAUGAGCAUAAAAAAAUUUCUUCUCUCAAAAUAAUCUAAGUGAAGCAUGAGAGAAUUUCUGAAAAAAUUUACUAACUCUCAAAUAAAUCUAAGUGAAGCAUGAGAAAAUUUCUUCAAAAAAAAUACUAAAGCACACCGUGCUCAAAAAGAUAUAAGUGAAGCAUAGAGAGCAAUUCUAACAAGUCAUAGCAUAAUUUUGGCUUUCUCAAAUAGGUGUGUCCAGCAAGGAUUCAUGACUAAAAAUAAAAGGCAAAACAAGCAAAGACUCAUAUCAUACAAGACGCUCCAAGCAAUACUCAUGAUAUGUGACGAAUAAAAAUAUAGCUCCAAGUAAAAUACUGAUGGUUGUUAGAAGAAAAAGGGGAUGUCACUCGGGCAUCCCCAAGCUUAGUUGCUUGAUUCUCUUUGGAUAAUAGUUGGGAUGCCAUGGGCAUCCCCAAGCUUAGGCUCUUCUUACUCCUUAUUCCUUCAUCCAUCGUAAUAUCAUCCAAAACUUGAAAACUUCAAUCACACAAAACUCAACAAAACCUUUGUGAGAUCCGUUAGUAUAAGAAAGCAAAUCACUACUAUAAGUAUUGUUGCCAACCCAUUCAUAUUUUAUUUGUGCAUUAUAUCUACUUUAUUCCAACUUUUUUAUAGCAAAAACUCUUUAAAGGAAACCAUAGAAUCAUCAAAACAAGCAAACAACACAAAGAAAACAGAAUCUGUCAAAAACAAAACAGUCUGUAGCAAUCUGGAUAUUUUGAAUACUUAUGUAACUCCAAAUAUUUUGAAAAAUUAGGACGACGUGAGUAAUUUGUAUACUAAUCUUAUAAAGAAAGAGUCAGUAUUUUAUCGCACUUCUUUUAAAAAUGAGAAUUAUUUUUCUGGGCACAAAAGUUUCUGUUUUUAGUAAGAUCAAAACAACUAUCACCCAACAUGAUCCAAAAGUCUUUGCUUGGCACAAACACUAAUUAAAACACAAAAAACACAAUCAUAACAGUAUAAUAAUUGUGCAAACACUUAAGAACAGAAAUUUAAAAAAAGACAAAAAUAAAUUUUAUUCAUUGGGUUGCCUCCCAACAAGCAUUAUCGUUUUAUGCCCCUAGCUGAGCAUAUUGAGCAUGCUCUUUUGUAGGGUUUCAUGCGCUUUAAUCAUGGCUGGAACAAAGAAGUUAUUAUUCAGUUUUAUGCCACGCUAUACAUCUCAGGAGAAAUUGGAAAUACCUCUACCUGGACUCUGGAAUGGAUGACUCGCAGAGAGAGAAUCAAAUGUUUGGCAGAUCAUUUUCUGGCCCUGAUAAAUAUUCCUCAAUGUGAGUUUGAGAAGGACAGAGAUCACAGACUGCCUUCAUGGCCGGCUUUAAUGUUUAAUUAAUGUUGUUUCUUUUUUUUAAUAUGCAUGCAUUUAUUUUUUGUUUUUGCGCCGCCAAAAUGGGUCCAGCCCAACGUUGGACGCACGCGCCGACCCAAAUACGAAAGCGGACAUCUGUAUCCGUCUGGCCGGCUCAAACGGAAAAAAAAAAGCAAACGAAAUCGCCGUCCGUUUGGGUCGGCCAGUUGGAGUUGCUCAUUGGCUCGUUCCGCUGUCCCCAAAACUUUGGCACGGCCGUAGCGCACAUGAUCGAUGGCUCUGGCUGUUUGUUCAUAGCCUCAUAGGCAUUCCCUGUCUUUCCGACGCGACAGACAGAGGGAGAAGGUCAAUUCGAGGAAGCGCGGAAACGGAAACAUGGCAGUUCGGGCGGCAGAACCCAAAAACCGAAAGCAAAAGCGCGCGCCCGCGGCCCACCCAAAACGGCCAUGGCAGCCGACGGUUACUCCGAAUCUUCUGCCGCAGACCCCUCUCCCAGGCUCCCGCUCCAAUGCAAGACAUGCAUACCCCACGUAUCCACGGCCGACACUGCCCGCAUCGCCAUUAGCGGGCCGAUUAGCUAACAAGAUCCCAUUCAUUUUCCUGCAUCACCAAGCCCGUAAAUCUCUCCAAGCCUGCAUCGCCAUUAACGGGCCAAUUAGCUUACUGUUGUAAGAGUACCGUACUCCGUUAAGAAGAUCACAUUCAUCUCUCCGAGACUGCCUUUCUUUCUAAAAAAGAUCUACCUAAAAACCAAGCGUACGAAGGAAGAUUCACGCGGUAGCAGCUGAUGCUGAAUCACCAAAGUAGGUCCAUCCAAAAUCGCAUUGAAUAUUCCAAAUUUCAGCAGUAGUAACCGACGCCCCGGUCAUGUACACAGAAGAAUACAGCCUUUGCUUUUUUGUACUUACAGCUAUGAUGCCAGCCACGUUACUAUGAAAAUUUUUGGACGGAAGCAAAUUAAGGACGAGGAUUGGCAUUUCCAUACUAAAAUACAAACAAGCAACCAAUUUUCAGAUCUCAAAUUCCAUCACAUUCCACAUCUCAACCCGAUUUCAGAUCUGGAAAUCCAAAGAGGCAGAAAAAGAAUUUGCAUUGCAGGGCAAGAGCGAUUGACCAUAACCAUAAUUAAUUAGAUAAACAAUGCACUAUUUGUUUUCGACACCAUCACAAGGAUCUUGCUACGCUAAAAAACCUCGACAAAUCAAGCUGCUACGGUAAAACGGAGGCUCGGGGACGAACCCUCGCCGCCGCCGUCGUCGUUUCACCCACAGAUACACCUCCAAGGGUACGCCGGAUUGAACCAGAGCACCCCGACCCGGAUGUAAAAAUUUACAGUCUAGAACACACAAUCCUGGACUACCACCGACACAGAACAGGGGAAAACUGCUAAUGGAAACUGGUUUGCCGGAGGACGGAGGCUCUACUUCUUGGCCUUCUUGGCGGGG